Molecule: long non-coding RNA, 1952 nt
Organism: Olea europaea var. sylvestris
Lineage: Eukaryota; Viridiplantae; Streptophyta; Magnoliopsida; Lamiales; Oleaceae
Exons: 3
Source: RefSeq, a predicted model, not a curated record
UCUCCAUUUCUAUGGUUAUUUGGCCACUAUAUCUUGGAAGCCUUAUGCCGCAGGACGCGAGUGCAUAAUUUCAGUAAUUAUUUCCUCUUUUUGGAGAUGGACAAUGCUGUAUCUUUUGCUGAAUUUUGGAUUGAUAGCAUUAACGAAGAAAGAACUUCAAAAUAAGAGAUGGCAAGAGUUAUAUGCCCAGAAGAAAAAAGCUUGAAACAUGAGCAAGAAAGAAAUACAAAAAUAAUCCACGUAGUUGCGAGAUAGGCAAAGAAAAUAGAGUUAUUGCAAGCAACCCGAGCCAUGGAAUGAUCAUACAUAAAUUCGAAUAUGAGGCAAAUGCUUAAUAAAGAUAAUAGUUUUAAUUCUUCAAGGUUAUUUAUGGUGAGGAUUUUAUGAUAGUUUGAGUUUAGGAUUACACUAAUACCAAUAUAUUUUUUCUUUCAUCAAGUCUAACAAUAUUUUCAUAUAGUUAGAUACUUAACUUUCGCAGCUUUCUAUCUGUUUACCGAUCUUUGCUAUCUUGAUAACUUAUUCAUAUUUUGUUUAGUUAUUGAACUUCGUUCCAAUGAGCCAACUGCAUACACACAGAAUAGAGAAUCAUGUGCAUUUUAAUAUAACAUAUUAAAUAUUUCCAUAAUCAAUAUCUCUCUUCUACAAGAUUCUUCGAUUUCUAUAUUUUUUUCGUAAUUAAAAUAUGUAUAUUAGAAAACUUUGCUAUGACUGUUGCACAAUUAGUCAAUUUUUAUCAGAAUCCUAUGCUUUGACCAAGUUAUUUUUCUUGCCUAUUAUAUUGGUUUAGUUUAAGUUAAAACUUGUGUUCACAUAUCCAUUAAAUUUCACUCCAUUUUAAGGAUUUUUUUUGGCUUCAUUUUUUCAUUAAUUUACAAUAUUUUUUGAACCUCAGAUGAAAGUAUUUAAAUUUAGUUCACUUAGUGCGAAAUUUCUUUAACAAAAUCUCCAACCUUUUCCUUCUAACAUGCGCCACCCACGCACCCCUCUGAGCUCGCAAUCAUUUUAUGAGCAAACUUUCUGAUGGACCCUACUCCACCUCUUGUGCAAAGCGAGGAUCAAAUCCCAUUGAAGAUAUUUUUAUUCAUCCAUUCAUUAUCUAUUUGUAUGCAAAUGUUAAUAUGUUGGCUUAUAGUAUUUUCUCAACAGUAAUUCUUUUUUCUUUUUAAGGAAAAAGUUUUGUAGAAUAUAGAGUGAUGAGCCUAAUUUCAUGUAUGAAAUUAAAUGUGCAAACUUCUUUGAUCUAAUUAUUAGCCUAUCAUGGCUAACACUUCUGUUGUUACAUUUUCGUCUUAUUUUAAUUAUUUUAUUAUGGCUCGAAAGUAAAAAAAAAAAUAAUAAUAAAGAAUAUAAAUUGUAAACCUAUAAAUUCUCAUCAUCAUCAAACAAUAAUUAACAAAACAUUUUAAUCUAGAUGUGUGAAAUCAUUCUCUAGUUGCACCUAAUAUGUUUCAUCUACAAAAUUUGCAAUAAUGACCCUAUAUCUUGACUUAUGUAAACUCUGUUGCAACAUCUACAGUUAUGUUAUUGUUGGACUUGGAUGAUGUCUGCAGUGAUACUAUUUUUUUUAAAAGAUGCGAUGAUCUUGUGCAGAUACAGAUCUCAUGGACAAACUUGAAACUGGGAAGAAGAUUUCUCACUUGCCCAUGGCGUCUCGAUGUUGAUGGAUGUAACAUUUUUUACUAGUGCGACCUUCCAAUGUGCGACAGAUCGAGGGACAUAAUCUCUUGAUCUCUACGUGUUAGAAGAGAAAUGGAAGCUAAAUUAAACACCCUACGUGCAAGAAGCUGAGGUUCAUUGAAGACUUUGAUAUUAGGAAUCUUCCCUUCGUUUUGAAGAAUUUUGGAAUGUUGUUUUAUGAGUUAGAAAUUGAGUGUGUCAAUGGUCUUGUAACUUAUUUUCCAUUAAAUCAGACAUGCUAUCAAUAAUAUUGCCCUAAUUUUCAAUUUUCA